Non-coding RNA from Pelobates cultripes (western spadefoot toad), 527 nucleotides. The record is from the annotation of a GenBank genome assembly. NCBI's taxonomy places the organism in Eukaryota, Metazoa, Chordata, Amphibia, Anura, Pelobatidae.
GUGAGACACAAAACAACGAAGGUACUGCUCCAGAGACUGGUUGGCACGUUCAGCAGCUCCAUUAGACUGGGGAUGGUAAGCGGAAGAAAAUGAGAGAGAAAUACCCAUUUCUGAGCAAAAGGCUUUCCAGAACUUGGAAAUAAAUUGACUACCCCUAUCGGACACGAUAGAUACAGGAAUACCAUGUAACCGAAAUACUUCUCUAGCGAAGAUAAGAGCCAGUUCCUUGGAUGUGGGCAACUUGCGAAGAGACACAAAGUGAGCCAUCUUGGAAAACCGAUCUACUAUCAUCAGGAUGACUGUGUUACCAUUCGAAGGGGGUAAUUCAACAAUAAAAUCCAUGGAUAGGUUAGACCAAGGUCUCUUUCGGGAACUGGUAAGGGAUGCAGAAGCCCACAAGGAACUCUACGAGACGUUUUCAUACAUGCACAAGUAGUACAAGCACUUAUAUAGCCAGUGACAUCCUUACGUAAGGAACCCCACCAAAAAUAUCGAGAAACGGCUGACAUCGUUUUGGUAAUACCAGG